UUGGUGAGGUAACGGCCCACCAAGGCUUCGACGGGUAGCCGGCCUGAGAGGGUGACCGGCCACACUGGGACUGAGACACGGCCCAGACUCCUACGGGAGGCAGCAGUGGGGAAUAUUGGACAAUGGGCGAAAGCCUGAUCCAGCAACGCCGCGUGAGGGAUGACGGCCUUCGGGUUGUAAACCUCUUUCAGUACCGACGAAGCGCCUGUAAGGGUGGUGACGGUAGGUACAGAAGAAGGACCGGCCAACUACGUGCCAGCAGCCGCGGUAAUACGUAGGGUCCGAGCGUUGUCCGGAAUUAUUGGGCGUAAAGGGCUCGUAGGCGGUCUGUCGCGUCGGGAGUGAAAUUUUACAGCUUAACUGUGAACGUGCUUUCGAUACGGGCAGACUUGAGGUAUUCAGGGGAGAACGGAAUUCCUGGUGUAGCGGUGAAAUGCGCAGAUAUCAGGAGGAACACCGGUGGCGAAGGCGGUUCUCUGGGAAUAUCCUGACGCUGAGGAGCGAAAGUGUGGGGAGCGAACAGGAUUAGAUACCCUGGUAGUCCACACCGUAAACGCUGGGCGCUAGGUGUGGGAUCCAUUCCACGGGUUCCGUGCCGCAGCUAACGCAUUAAGCGCCCCGCCUGGGGAGUACGG
Molecule: ribosomal RNA, 635 nt
Filed under: uncultured bacterium
Lineage: Bacteria
Description: bacterial SSU rRNA
Rfam family: Bacterial small subunit ribosomal RNA
Source: RNAcentral